GGAAUAUUGGACAAUGGGCGCAAGCCUGAUCCAGCCAUGCCGCGUGCAGGAUGACGGUCCUAUGGAUUGUAAACUGCUUUUAUACAGGAAGAAACACUGGUUCGUGAACCAGCUUGACGGUACUGUAAGAAUAAGGAUCGGCUACCUACGUGCCAGCAGCCGCGGUAAUACGGAGGAUCCAAGCGUUAUCCGGAAUCAUUGGGUUUAAAGGGUCCGUAGGCGGUUUAGUAAGUCAGUGGUGAAAGCCCAUCGCUCAACGGUGGAACGGCCAUUGAUACUGCUAAACUUGAAUUGUUAGGAAGUAACUAGAAUAUGUAGUGUAGCGGUGAAAUGCUUAGAGAUUACAUGGAAUACCAAUUGCGAAGGCAGGUUACUACUAAUUGAUUGACGCUGAUGGACGAAAGCGUGGGUAGCGAAC
This 418-nucleotide ribosomal RNA is filed under the name uncultured bacterium. RNAcentral describes it as "bacterial SSU rRNA". It matches the Rfam family "Bacterial small subunit ribosomal RNA", at positions 358 to 773 of the family's 1533-position model. The record is from RNAcentral.